AUUAAAAUUUAACAAGACACUUAAUACGCGCUAUCAGUCGUGACGUCACCUCCCCACUCUUAUUACGGUAGGUCAGUUGCUCAAAGCUAAACAACCAGUCUUUUACAUGUGGUGUAAUACGUUUUUCGGUUUUUUGGUUGUGUUUGUGCGUUAAUAACGUGUCAAAUAGCUGCAGCGGGUGUAAUUUGUGCCACUAGAGACUUUAAUUUAAUUUAGAAGUGACUUUUUGUGAAAAUACGAACUUUAUAAAAGAAUACAGGGAACCACGUUGUCGGUGAGAAAAAAAGCACAUUGUUAAGUUUCACUUUAUUGCGAAAUUUUUUGGGGACGGUAAUCGCUUUUUAGUUCGGGGAGAAAAUGCUUUUACCAGCGGUCACGUCACCAAAUUUAGGUUUGAUGGCACAGUACAACCGAUGAGAAUUUCUGCAGAAGUUCUACCGAGCAUGAAAAAGCUAAAUUAUACUGUGGAGAUUUCAUAUGACCUAGAAGAAGGGGUUAAGACGGCACAUUGUACCUGCCCAAGGGGCAACGUGGCUUGCCAUCAUAUGGCUGCAGCAUUAUAUUAUGCUCAUUAUAAUGUAAGUGCUACUGACAUUGAGUGUCAGUGGAGUGCCCCAUCAAAAACAACACCACAAACAGAAGUCAUUAAGUUAGCUGAUGUUUACAAGCCGAAAUUAUCAAACUAUACGGCACUGUCUAGGUCCUCUACUGAGGACGAAAUUAUUCAGUUCCGUGCCGAAAUAGGCGUCACGAAUGUGGUGGGCUUCACUUGGCUCCUAAGACCAGAAGCAAGUGAAGAAGCCAGAAAAAUUAUUGCAGAUAUCGAAGAAAUUCUACAAAGCUUAGAAUACGUGCAGGCCAUAGACAAACAAAAGUUUCUUUUGGAGAAGUGCAGAAUAGAUGAGGCACGCAUUAAACUGGUUGAGGCGUGCACUCGGGGCCAACAUGUUAACGAAAAUUGGCAUGUAGCAAGGAAACAUCGUUUAACGGCCAGCAGGUUUGGCAUGGUACUAUCUGCUUGCAGUAGACGAAGAUUCCCACCCUCUUUAUUUAAAAAUUUGGCGGAAGGCUAUUCGCUUGACAGGGUUGCUGCUGUGCAGUGGGGUAAGACGCGCUAUCAGUGUGACGUAGACAUUUGAGGUAGGUCAGCACCUUAAAGCUAAACAAUCGCCAUUUUCAAUGCUUUUCUUAUGGGCAUUUAAAAGUUUUUCGUAUUUCUUUAAUGCUAGAAGUGUAGGAACAUUACUUUUACAGAGAAAUGAUAGCUAUGAAAAAUGCAAUGUCGUUUCUUAAAGAUUUUAGCAACUGAGCUAAUAUUUCUUUUUUCUUAAUUUGGACAUCAUAUUGAUGUAAAUUAUUAUGUGGCCUUUUAAAACUGAGGGAAAAAUGGUUUGCCACACUAAUGACAUUGGAUUUCUUCUGAAUGACGAAUUCAUGGGGUGCAACCGGCGCAACCCCAAUAAACGGGUUGUUUUCUGUCCCCCUCCCCCAUCACGAGGGAUGAAUAGCAGGUAUACGAGGGUAGAGGGUUCAGGCACAUACAUGGUUGAAAGUAGUACGGGUUGUGAGUUCUGUGCUUCUUUCGUGAGUGUCUUUUGUUAUCGUGUUUUUUCCGAUCGUUCUCCAUAUCUUCGUGUUCUUGAAUUUUUAAAAUUCUGUUUUUCCAAGACAUUAUCUCAUUUUUGUGGUACAUCAUUAGGUAUGAUUUGUGAAUAAUAUUUUGUUGCGAUACUUUGAUAGUUCAUGUGUAGUAGGUUUUUACAUCACAACUAUGGGAAUGUGUUGGGCUCCAGAUUGCAAACACUAUAGUACUCGCGAUAAAUGCCAUUUUUUUAGUUUUCCUAAGUCGGGAAAAGAACGAGCACUAUGGAAAAAAUUGUUGAGAAGAGAUGUAGAACCCGGACCAGGAGCCUACGUUUGCAGCUGCCAUUUUCGGGAUGGAAGAAAGGAAAAUGGUCCUGAAUUAUUUUUGCACAAUAUCGCAAAAAGAGCCUAUUUUCAAGUGGAAUCUCCAGAAAAAAAAAAGAUGAAAAAACAAGGACUCCCUUCUUGUUCUAGUUCCGCUGAAUCAUUAAGUGUUGAUAUACCGGAAGAAACAGUACCAUCGACAAUGAAUUUAGAGGAAGUGCCAUCGACGUCUACAGCCGUAGUUGCAGCACCAGCAGAUAUAAUUCAAGAUGCUCCGUUAGAAUCUAUGGGUGUGCAAGCACCCUUGGUGUCACAUGCGGCUCUUGAAGCAGAAAUGUAUUUUCUCAAAAAGGAAAAUGCUGAACUUAAAGCAAAAAUACAAUAUCUGACAGUACGAUUUUGCUAUGAAAAUGUUCAAGGAAAUGACAAACUCAUUGUUUUAUAUACCGGUCUUCCCAAUAGCCAGAUUUUCGAAGCAUUGUUUCACUUAAUCGAAAAGUUGGACAUAAAAUAUUACCACAAAUGGACAGUCCAAAAGUUAACUAGAAUUGACCAACUCUUUUUAACCCUAGUAAAAUUACGACUCAAUUUCCCUCAACUUGAUUUGGCGCAACGCUUUGGGGUUGCCCAAAGCACAGUUUCUAAUAUUAUUUUAACAUUUGUCCAUGUAAUAUAUGAAAUUUUAUAUAAACAGUUUAUGACGACAAUGCCUUCGCGCGAAAAAAAUAAAUCUUGCUUGCCAACAUGUUUUAGCAAUUUUACUAAUUGUAGAGCAGUUCUAGAUUGUACCGAAAUUUUCACUGUGGUAUCACGUAAGUCUAUGUCAACACAGAAAUUAACAUAUAGUACUUACAAACAUCAUAAUACUUUCAAAGGGCUAAUUGGAGUUGCACCCAAUGGUGUCAUCACAUUUGUAAGUGAUUUAUACGUGGGAUCAACUUCUGAUCAAAAAGUUGUUUUAAAUUGUGGAAUAAUCGACAUGUUAAAAACUGGAGAUAUGAUUUUAGCCGAUAAGGGAUUUUUGAUCCAAAAUAUUCUGCCACCAGGGGUCACUUUGAAUAUUCCACCUUUUUUAUCAAAUGUCCAAUUUACACCAGAGCAAGUUAAGUGUACCGAAAAUAUUGCACGUGCAAGAAUACACGUCGAAAGGGCAAUACGCCGAUUAAAAUGUUAUCAUAUUUUAAAUUUUUUGCCAGAGUCUUUGUGCCACUAUGGAGAUAUUGUUUUUAAAGCGACUGCCGCUUUAACAAACCUCCAAUUUCCAUUAAUUAAAGAGGUAGCAGAAUUGUUUCAGGAUUGUGAUGAUUAAAAUAAUGUAAAAUAAAAACCAUCUAUUUAUA
RNA transcript from Tribolium castaneum (red flour beetle), 3248 nucleotides. RefSeq lists it as uncharacterized. The record is from RefSeq and is a predicted model, not a curated record. Lineage: Eukaryota; Metazoa; Arthropoda; Insecta; Coleoptera; Tenebrionidae. The transcript has 6 exons.